UGCAUUAUAUACACACUACACAAACACACUGCAUUAUAUACACAGUGUGUUUGCAUAGUGUGUUUAUAUAAUGCAGUGUGUUUGUGUAGUGUGCAGUAUAUAA
This is a non-coding RNA of Pelobates cultripes (western spadefoot toad), 103 nucleotides long. Lineage: Eukaryota; Metazoa; Chordata; Amphibia; Anura; Pelobatidae. The record is from the annotation of a GenBank genome assembly.